RNAcentral lists this ribosomal RNA (207 nucleotides) under uncultured bacterium. RNAcentral describes it as "partial 16S ribosomal RNA". It matches the Rfam family "Bacterial small subunit ribosomal RNA", at positions 568 to 774 of the family's 1533-position model. The record is from RNAcentral.
UGCGCAGGCGGUUUUGUAAGACAGGCGUGAAAUCCCCGGGCUCAACCUGGGAAUUGCGCUUGUGACUGCAAGGCUAGAGUGCGGCAGAGGGGGAUGGAAUUCCGCGUGUAGCAGUGAAAUGCGUAGAUAUGCGGAGGAACACCGAUGGCGAAGGCAAUCCCCUGGGCCUGCACUGACGCUCAUGCACGAAAGCGUGGGGAGCAAACA